Non-coding RNA from Equus caballus (horse), 1528 nucleotides. The record is from RefSeq and is a predicted model, not a curated record. Lineage: Eukaryota; Metazoa; Chordata; Mammalia; Perissodactyla; Equidae.
GUGUCGGUUCGGAGUUGGAUGCCCCCGGUUCACGUACCAAAUAUGUGUUCUUUGGCAAACGACCGAAAUCGUUUUCUCAUCCAUUACAUAUAGGUAGCAAAAGUGACUACUUUGUACAGUUGAGGAUUAAAUGAGGUCGCCAUCUUCAGUGCCUGCUAUGUAGUAAGCAGUGAAUAAAUGUUAGCUAUUAUUCCCAACUCCCCAUCACACCUCAUAAACAAAAAACUAGAACAGGAGGCCCCUGCCUAGUGAAACUCUAGCUACUCAUCAGAGUAGUUUGUCUCAUUGCACUUAAGACCUCGGGAAGCCCAUCCCUUUCUGUGGACUCAGGGUCUUUGGGGAUCCUUUAUCAUAUACUACCUUCCAGUAGUUUACCAUGGAUGUCUGGUUUUUUUCUCAGAUAUUUUAAGCUCCAAGAAGGCUGGACCUGCCCUGUCUCCUCAGAACUGGGCUGUACACACAGCAAGGGCUUGAAAAUUGCAGAGGUGAAAAAAUAAGCUUUUCAGUGCCUCUAUACCUCUACAAUCACUUGAGUUCUUCAGUACUACUGUAAAACAAGGGGAGCAGAAAGAAUUAGUGUAAGUUUGCAAUAGGUACUGAGGCCCACGCAGGUAAAAUGACAACUGAAAUCAAAAGAGAGGGUAGCAGUUAGUACAAAUUUUGCCUUCAAAGUUUAGGUCAGUUUCCUCUCACUCACAAUACGUUACUACAUUAAUAGUGAGGGUUAUACCAUUAGUUUGUUAGCCUAUUCAAACAGGAGUGUGAAUGAGUUUGUUGAACAUAUUGGGUUGUUUUACAUUUUUAGGCAGCUUGGAUUAACUAGGAGAAAGUCAAUUGCACCAGCAAAUGGAAAUCUAGAAAGAAGCAAAUCCAUAGUAUUGCUGGACACAUCAACUGGAGAGACUGAAUCUGAGUUCCACGCUUAUGUUCAGUCUCCAGAACAUCCAGUUCUUUCUGAAUUUUGCACAGAACUGCCAGGCAUAAAGCAGUUCCUAUUUAUGUGCUCAGUCUUUAUGGAAUUCGAUUGUUGAAUUCAGAUUUGUGACUCUCUUGAGGCUCAAGAUGAUGAAGGAGUCCCUCUGAAGAUUUGCUUAUCUCAGUUCUGUAAAUGGAUUCAGAAGACUCAGCAACAGAAGAAAAUUAUUUUUGCUUCUGGGGUUGCAGAUCUUUCUACUUCCAAAGUAAAAUUAUGUGCAUUUGAUACUUAGUCAGGUAAAACAUAAAUUAUAUCUAUCAAUUAUAAGUGAGUAGCAUUACCAGUAUGUAAUUCUUUAUCCCUAGUAAGAAUUAUACUUGUUAACCUCCUGGGCCAGGAAAAGAAAUCCAAAUGCCUAGCAGAUGUUAAACAAGAAUGGUAAAUUUAGUCAUAUUUUUAAAAUUACCAUUCUGAGAUACCUUAAAAUUUUAAGACUUAACUUUAAGAAUCUUUCUAGAGUGUUCCUGUCUGUUCUUCUGAAUUCAGGUAAAGAUGAUUUAGUGAAAACUCUUAUCAUGCUAUUUUCUACAACCUUGAAUAAAAAGAGUUCUC